UGAUGGUUGUGCUAUUUGAUGUAAUUGUAUAUGAAUUAAUUAAUAAAAUAUUUAUUUGAUAAUUUUUAUCAUAAGUUUGUACAUCUUCUAUAUCGAACGUCUGUGUUAUGAUGAAAGUCCUUAGGACUAUUUUAAAUCGAUAAAGGAGGAUUUAUCGUUUAGUCCUUAAAUGAGUUCGUGACCAAAUGAUAUGCUAUUAUUAGGACGAUAGACAUACCAAGUGUAGGUCGUUGUGUGCCAUAUAUCGUUGGUCAUCCUCUUAACCAAAGAGUGUGAAGACGCUGGUAUGGCAUACAGAUAAAAUAUAGGAGUAUAUUUCAUGAAAUGUGACCAACUCUGGAGCACCCUACUGUCAAGAGUCACUCCGAAGGUAUAUGGGUAUAAGUGUCCCUC
This 393-nucleotide long non-coding RNA is filed under the name Elaeis guineensis (African oil palm). RNAcentral's name for it is "long non-coding RNA (EGUI_LNC033878)". The record is from RNAcentral. Lineage: Eukaryota; Viridiplantae; Streptophyta; Magnoliopsida; Arecales; Arecaceae.